Molecule: ribosomal RNA, 1303 nt
Filed under: uncultured Sebacina
Lineage: Eukaryota; Fungi; Basidiomycota; Agaricomycetes; Sebacinales; Sebacinaceae
Description: eukaryotic LSU rRNA
Rfam family: Eukaryotic large subunit ribosomal RNA (bases 629-1303)
Source: RNAcentral
UUUAGAGGAAGUAAAAGUCGUAACAAGGUUUCCGUAGGUGAACCUGCGGAAGGAUCAUUAGUGAAUCUUCAAAGUCGGCUCGUCGGAUUGUGCUGGUGGAGACACAUGUGCACGUCUUGCGAGUCGCAAACCCACACACCUGUGCAUCUAUGACUCUGAGUGCUGCUUUGCAUGGCCUUGAUCGGCCUGGCGCUCGAGUACUUUUCACACUCUUGAAUGUAACGGAAUGUCUUGUUGUGCGUAAUGUACAAAUCAAAACAACUUUCAACAACGGAUCUCUUGGCUCUCGCAUCGAUGAAGAACGCAGCGAAAUGCGAUAAGUAAUGUGAAUUGCAGAAUUCAGUGAAUCAUCGAAUCUUUGAACGCACCUUGCACCCUUUGGUAUUCCGAAGGGUGCACCCGUUUGAGUGUCAUUGUAAUCUCACUAUGAUUGACUUUAUGUCUUUCUGUAUGUGGACUUGGAUGUUGCUGUGGAUAUCUAUGGCUCGUCUGAAAUGCUUCAGUGUACCCCGCGAUGCGGCGUAUUCGGUGUGAUACAUCUUCACCGGAGUUGAUCCUUUGUUGGGUCGUGUCUGUAACGUGUGGCUCUAUGCUUCGAACCGUCUUGAUAGGACAAUCUCUGACAAUUCGACCUCAAAUCGGGUGGGACUACCCGCUGAACUUAAGCAUAUCAAUAAGCGGAGGAAAAGAAACUAACAAGGAUUCCCCUAGUAACGGCGAGUGAAGAGGGAAAAGCUCAAAUUUUGAAUCUGGUGUCUUUGACUCCCGAGUUGUAAUCUAGAGAAGUGUUUUCCGUGUCGGACCGUGCACAAGUUCCCUGGAACGGGGCGUCAUAGAGGGUGAGAAUCCCGUAUAUGGCACGGACUGCCGAUGCAUUUGUGAUACACUCUCAACGAGUCGAGUUGUUUGGGAAUGCAGCUCAAAAUGGGUGGUAAAUUCCAUCUAAAGCUAAAUAUUGGCGAGAGACCGAUAGCGAACAAGUACCGUGAGGGAAAGAUGAAAAGCACUUUGGAAAGAGAGUGAAACAGUACGUGAAAUUGUUGAAAGGGAAGCGUUUGAAGUCAGUCGUAUCCGGCGGGAUUCAGCCAGGCUUUUGCCCGGUGUACUUCUCGUCGGAUGGGUCAGCAUCAAUUUCGACCGGGGGAGAAAGGCAUGGGGAAUGUGGCUGUCUUCGGGCAGUGUUAUAGCCCCGCGUUGUAUGCCUCGGUUGGGAUUGAGGAACGCAGCGCGCCUCAUGGCCAGGGGUUCGCCCUUUGACACGCGCUUAGGAUGCUGGCAUAAUGGCUUUAAGCGACCCGUCUUG